Molecule: ribosomal RNA, 849 nt
Filed under: Lactiplantibacillus plantarum
Lineage: Bacteria; Bacillati; Bacillota; Bacilli; Lactobacillales; Lactobacillaceae
Description: bacterial SSU rRNA
Rfam family: Bacterial small subunit ribosomal RNA
Source: RNAcentral
ACUCUGGUAUUGAUUGAUGCUUGCAUCAUGAUUUACAUUUGAGUGAGUGGCGAACUGGUGAGUAACACGUGGGAAACCUGCCCAGAAGCGGGGGAUAACACCUGGAAACAGAUGCUAAUACCGCAUAACAACUUGGACCGCAUGGUCCGAGUUUGAAAGAUGGCUUCGGCUAUCACUUUUGGAUGGUCCCGCGGCGUAUUAGCUAGAUGGUGAGGUAACGGCUCACCAUGGCAAUGAUACGUAGCCGACCUGAGAGGGUAAUCGGCCACAUUGGGACUGAGACACGGCCCAAACUCCUACGGGAGGCAGCAGUAGGGAAUCUUCCACAAUGGACGAAAGUCUGAUGGAGCAACGCCGCGUGAGUGAAGAAGGGUUUCGGCUCGUAAAACUCUGUUGUUAAAGAAGAACAUAUCUGAGAGUAACUGUUCAGGUAUUGACGGUAUUUAACCAGAAAGCCACGGCUAACUACGUGCCAGCAGCCGCGGUAAUACGUAGGUGGCAAGCGUUGUCCGGAUUUAUUGGGCGUAAAGCGAGCGCAGGCGGUUUUUUAAGUCUGAUGUGAAAGCCUUCGGCUCAACCGAAGAAGUGCAUCGGAACUGGGAAACUUGAGUGCAGAAGAGGACAGUGGAACUCCAUGUGUAGCGGUGAAAUGCGUAGAUAUAUGGAAGAACACCAGUGGCGAAGGCGGCUGUCUGGUCUGUAACUGACGCUGAGGCUCGAAAGUAUGGGUAGCAAACAGGAUUAGAUACCCUGGUAGUCCAUACCGUAACGAUGAAUGCUAAGUGUUGGAGGGUUUCCGCCCUUCAGUGCUGCAGCUAACGCAUUAAGCAUUCCGCCUGGGGAGUACGG